AUGCUGCUAAUGUAUGCAAUAGAUUUCCAGGGGGUCAAAAUGGAUGCAAUUGCAUUUGAUCCAUUUCAACCGAUCGCAUAUCGCUUCAGCGACAACCUACGUGCCGGCUCAGUACACUUAUUCAAAAAAGUUAGUUUUGAACCAGCAGCUAUGCAUCUGCCAGUUGCAUUGCCGGUGCCAUGUGACUUUUACAUCGUCCUCCACUCGCGCACUGAAAUACUUCUUGCCAGGGCCAGCAUUAACAUCCCUUCGUUGCCGCCACGAUUCAUUGAUUUUAUAGAUGUCUACAGCCUCAGAAACAGGAUGCUUGCAGGUGCAUUGUAUCAUCUCACAAUGAAUUUUGCUGACAUGUAG
This 354-nucleotide ribosomal RNA is filed under the name Triticum aestivum (bread wheat). Its description in RNAcentral is "partial small subunit ribosomal RNA". Lineage: Eukaryota; Viridiplantae; Streptophyta; Magnoliopsida; Poales; Poaceae. The record is from RNAcentral.